Molecule: ribosomal RNA, 253 nt
Filed under: uncultured bacterium
Lineage: Bacteria
Description: partial 16S ribosomal RNA
Rfam family: Bacterial small subunit ribosomal RNA
Source: RNAcentral
UACAGAGGGGGCAAGCGUUGUCCGGAUUUACUGGGCGUACAGCGCGCGCAGGCGGUUGCGUAUGUGAGCGGGGACAUCCGCGGGCUCAACCCGCGGCGGCCCGCUUACACAGCGCGACUGGAGGCAGGGAGAGGGAUGUGGAAUACCCGGUGGAGCGGUGAAAUGCGUAGAGAUCGGGUGGAACACCAGCGGCGAAGGCGGCAUCCUGGCCCUGUACUGACGCUGAGGCGCGAUAGCGUGGGGAGCAAACGGG